AUUGAACGCUGGCGGCAGGCCUAACACAUGCAAGUCGAGCGGAUGAAGGGAGCUUGCCCCUGGAUUCAGCGGCGGACGGGUGAGUAAUGCCUAUGAAUCUGCCUGGUAGUGGGGGAUAACGUCCGGAAACGGGCGCUAAUACCGCAUACGUCCUGAGGGAGAAAGUGGGGGAUCUUCGGACCUCACGCUAUCAGAUGAGCCUAGGUCGGAUUAGCUAGUUGGUGGGGUAAAGGCCUACCAAGGCGACGAUCCGUAACUGGUCUGAGAGGAUGAUCAGUCACACUGGAACUGAGACACGGUCCAGACUCCUACGGGAGGCAGCAGUGGGGAAUAUUGGACAAUGGGCGAAAGCCUGAUCCAGCCAUGCCACGUGUGUGAAGAAGGUCUUCGGAUUGUAAAGCACUUUAAGUUGGGAGGAAGGGCAGUAAGUUAAUACCUUGCUGUUUUGACGUUACCAACAGAAUAAGCACCGGCUAACUUCGUG
Molecule: ribosomal RNA, 484 nt
Filed under: uncultured bacterium
Lineage: Bacteria
Description: partial 16S ribosomal RNA
Rfam family: Bacterial small subunit ribosomal RNA
Source: RNAcentral